AAGUGACUGAGGCCUGUGGUGGAGAAGGACGUGUCGUGCCGCUGGGUUCUGAGCCGGGGUGGUCGGUGGGUGGGAUGGAGGCGACCUUGGAGCAGCACUUGGAAGACACGUGAGUAGUGCGCGCCUCUUCGGCCUGUCCUGAGUUCGCGGCGGAGGAACUUGAGCGGAACGAAAGGCGCGAGCUGCGAGUACCGGGCAGGGCGUCUCGGGGACGUCGCGCGACCCCCGGGACACGGGAUGAGGGGGUUGAGCCCUACCCAAGGCCGCAGGGUGGGGCGGGUGACCCGGAAUUAAAAUCCUGCGGGGCAGCGCACAUUCCCUCUUGAACGAGUCUCCCGGGCCCAGGCCACGGGCCAAAACUGCCUAUCUCGUUGUUGAAAUCGUCUUUACGGUCAGGGUGGUUCUGCGGAAGUUUUAGGAAACGAGUUGACUUUUGGGAAGAUUGUGCCAGUUGUGCAGAGUCGAGCCCUGCAGUGUAAACAAACACGUAUCUCCUGUGUGUAACCUGUCAGUUACUUGGUGCUUAAGUAGAUAAAAAUCAUUCUUUAAAUUUUUCGAACAAGCGGUAUCUAUGUAAAAUUCAAAACUGGAAAAGUAUAAAAGGUACAGAGAGACAGCUGCCUCCCACCGAUGUCCCUGAGCUUCCACUUACCCUCCAGGAGGUAACUUAAGUUUUUCAACAGUUGUUUUAAAUGAGUUAGUACUAAAACAUGCGUUUUUAACAAGAGUGAAAACAUUCUAGAUGUUUUUCACGCAGGGUUUGUGGCCCUCCAAAACUCAGCAGUACUUAGCACAUUUUUUUCUCUCAUCAGAAACUGGUUUAUUUCAAUUAAUUAAUUAGAACUUAAUUUUUUUUUCUUUUUUUCUUUUUUUUUUUUUUUUGAGACGGAGUUUCGCUCUUGUCUCCCAGGCUGGAGUGCAAUGGCGUGAUCUCGGCUCACUGCAAUCUCCGCCUCCCGGGUUCAAGCGAUUCUCUUGCCUCAGCCUCCCGAGUAGCUGGGAUUACAGUCAUGCGCCACCACGCCCGGCUAAUUUUGUAUUUUUAGUAGAGACGGGGUUUCUCCAUGUUGGUCAGGCUGGUCUCGAACUCCCGAGCUCAGGUGAUCCGCCCACCUCGGCCUCCCAAAGUGCUGGGAUUACAGGCAUGAGCCAUCGCGCCCGGCCCUAGAACUUAAUUUUUUUCUUAGGGUGUGACAAUGAAAAAAGGUUGAGAAACAUUGAUUUAAAGCACUUAAACAAUGCCUGGUACAUAGAACACCUGUAUGUUUGUACUUAUUUAAAUCCUUUUUCUCCCAUUAUGUACUUCAACUCUCUUGUGUUCCUGGAAUUAGAAUGAAGAAUCCCUCCAUUGUUGGAGUCCUGUGCACAGAUUCACAAGGACUUAAUCUGGGUUGCCGUGGGACCCUGUCAGAUGAGCAUGCUGGAGUGAUAUCUGUUCUAGCCCAGCAAGCAGCUAAGCUAACCUCUGACCCCACUGAUAUUCCUGUGGUGUGUCUAGAAUCAGAUAAUGGGAACAUUAUGAUCCAGAAACAUGAUGGCAUCACAGUGGCAGUGCACAAAAUGGCCUCUUGAUGCCUCAUAUCUGUUCUUCAGCAGCCUGUCAUAGGAACUGGAUCCUACCUAUGUUAAUUACCUUAUAGAACUACUAAAGUUCCAGUAGUUAGGCCAUUCAUUUAAUGUGCAUUGAGCACUUUUCUAUUUAUUUAAGAGUCAAUUGCUUUCUAAUGCUCUAUGGACCGACUAUCAAGGUAUUAGUAAGAAAGGAUCAUGUUUUGAAGCAGCAGGUCCAGGUUACUUUGUAUAUAGAAUUUUGCUAUAUUCAAUAAAUCUGUUUGGAGGAAAAUGGA
Molecule: small RNA, 1847 nt
Filed under: Pongo abelii (Sumatran orangutan)
Lineage: Eukaryota; Metazoa; Chordata; Mammalia; Primates; Hominidae
Description: retained intron
Source: RNAcentral